Small nuclear RNA from Electrophorus electricus (electric eel), 165 nucleotides. Its record names the gene U1. It matches the Rfam family "U1 spliceosomal RNA". Rfam says of the family: U1 is a small nuclear RNA (snRNA) component of the spliceosome (involved in pre-mRNA splicing). Its 5' end forms complementary base pairs with the 5' splice junction, thus defining the 5' donor site of an intron. Lineage: Eukaryota; Metazoa; Chordata; Actinopteri; Gymnotiformes; Gymnotidae. The record is from Ensembl.
AUACUUACCUGGCAGGGGAGAUACCAUGAUCAAGAAGGUGGUUCAUGCAGGGCAAAGCUCAGCCAUUGCAUUCUGGUUGUACUGACCCCUGCGAAUUCCCCAAAAUGUGGGAAUAUCGACUGUGAAUUUUCUGGUAGUGGGGGACUGCAUUCAUGCUCUCCCAUG